GCACUCAUUGUUUACGACAAUGGUAACACUUGGUAAGUUUAAUUAGCCUUACAUACGAGCAACGCCCUUCUAAGGCGUUGGUCGAAGGUUCGAAUCCUUCCGGGUGCGCCA
Molecule: transfer RNA, 111 nt
Filed under: Pseudoalteromonas arabiensis
Lineage: Bacteria; Pseudomonadati; Pseudomonadota; Gammaproteobacteria; Alteromonadales; Pseudoalteromonadaceae
Also listed under: 2 other names
Rfam family: tRNA (bases 44-100)
About the family: Transfer RNA (tRNA) molecules are approximately 80 nucleotides in length. Their secondary structure includes four short double-helical elements and three loops (D, anti-codon, and T loops). Further hydrogen bonds mediate the characteristic L-shaped molecular structure. tRNAs have two regions of fundamental functional importance: the anti-codon, which is responsible for specific mRNA codon recognition, and the 3' end, to which the tRNAs corresponding amino acid is attached (by aminoacyl-tRNA synthetases). tRNAs cope with the degeneracy of the genetic code in two manners: having more than one tRNA (with a specific anti-codon) for a particular amino acid; and 'wobble' base-pairing, i.e. permitting non-standard base-pairing at the 3rd anti-codon position.
Source: RNAcentral